This 460-nucleotide ribosomal RNA is filed under the name uncultured bacterium. Its description in RNAcentral is "partial 16S ribosomal RNA". It matches the Rfam family "Bacterial small subunit ribosomal RNA", at positions 338 to 795 of the family's 1533-position model. The record is from RNAcentral.
CCUACGGGGGGCAGCAGUGAGGAAUAUUGGUCAAUGGGCGCGAGCCUGAACCAGCCAAGUAGCGUGAAGGAUGACUGCCCUACGGGUUGUAAACUUCUUUUAUCAAGGAAUAAAGUGAGGCACGUGUGCCUUUUUGUAUGUACUUUAUGAAUAAGGCUCGGCUAACUCCGUGCCAGCAGCCGCGGUAAUAAGGAGGAUCCGAGCGUUAUCCGGGUUUAUUGGGUUUAAAGGGAGCGUAGAUGGGUUGUUAAGUCAGUUGUGAAAGUUUGCGGCUCAACCGUAAAAUUGCAAUUGAUACUGGCAGCCUUGAGUACAGUUGAGGUAGGCGGAAUGCGUGGUGUAGCGGUGAAAUGCUUAGAUAUCACGAAGAACUCCGAUUGCGAAGGCAGCUUACUAAACUGCCACUGACAUUGAUGCUCGAAAGUGUGGGUAUCAAACAGGAUUAGAUACCCGUGUAGUC